AACGAACGCUGGCGGCAUGCCUAACACAUGCAAGUCGAACGAGACCUUCGGGUCUAGUGGCGCACGGGUGCGUAACGCGUGGGAACCUGCCCUUAGGUUCGGAAUAACUCCCCGAAAGGGGUGCUAAUACCGGAUAAUGUCUUCGGACCAAAGAUUUAUCGCCUUUGGAUGGGCCCGCGUUGGAUUAGCUAGUUGGUAGGGUAAAAGCCUACCAAGGCGACGAUCCAUAGCUGGUCUGAGAAGAUGAUCAGCCACACUGGGACUGAGACACGGCCCAGACUCCUACGGGAGGCAGCAGUGGGGAAUAUUGGACAAUGGGCGAAAGCCUGAUCCAGCAAUGCCGCGUGAGUGAUGAAGGCCUUAGGGUUGUAAAGCUCUUUUACCCGGGAUGAUAAGGACAGUACCGGGAGAAUAAGCUCCGGCUAACUCCGU
This 432-nucleotide ribosomal RNA is filed under the name uncultured bacterium. RNAcentral describes it as "partial 16S ribosomal RNA". It matches the Rfam family "Bacterial small subunit ribosomal RNA", at positions 29 to 506 of the family's 1533-position model. The record is from RNAcentral.